Molecule: long non-coding RNA, 229 nt
Filed under: Gossypium barbadense (sea-island cotton)
Lineage: Eukaryota; Viridiplantae; Streptophyta; Magnoliopsida; Malvales; Malvaceae
Description: long non-coding RNA (GBAR_LNC021837)
Source: RNAcentral
GGAAGUAUUAGUACUUUAACAAGAGUAUCGAUAUUUUGAUUUUUACUAAAUUUUUCUAAAAUUUCGAAGCUUAAACUGGUAUCGAUACUAGGCAGGGGUAUCGAUACUUGAGACAAGGUACUGAUACCUUAUGCAUAGUACCGAUACUUGGCAUUAUUUUAUACAUAUAAAUGACGAAAUAAAUUUUCACUCGAAAAUUUAUCUAAUUUUUAUACAAAAUCAGGUCGAC